AGAAAUUCUGGUGCUUCUGGACUCUUCGUUCCAUUUCGAAGCCAAGCUCUCAGACGUCUGCUUCUUUCUAAAAAAACUCUAGCCCUCUGCUUCCCUAACACACCUCCCGCAAACGUCUCUAUUGUGUCUUCUGCGAUUAACACUUUUGAAACAAGAAAUUAAAUCGAUCUCCAAAAGUUCAACCCCCAAACUGGAUCCAGAUCCAUCACCAUCUCGCGGUGCCUUGCUCAGAUCGGCUCUGCACUCAUCAUCGAUGACUCUGCCUUCACGGAGGACUCCGCAAAUCCCAUCGCCGAUAAAGGUAAAGCACGGCCACCUCUCCCUUUCUUCGUUUUCAUGGCCGAAUGUCAAAUCAAGCGAAUUUGACUCAUGCAUGUGUGUAUUCUGUAAAGAUGCUUCUCAAUCUGUUGUCUGGACUAAAGAAAAUGAGGAUGGGGCUCUCGAGAAUUUCAAAUCCCAAAAAAGAGAAAGGUAUAAAUUUUGUUUAGUUUCUUUGUAUCUAUAAGAAUAAUUUUUAUUUUAGGUUACUUCAAAACUGCUGGAGUUUGGAUUUCAUAUGUUUUUUCAGGCGAUUUAUUUGUUAGAUCUUAUGGAUAUUUAGGUAUGAAUUGGCAGAAGAUUGUGCAGACGAUGAUGAAGCAAAGUAGCUGAUUUAUAAUAAGUGACUUUUUCUUUGUUCUUUAUUGUACUAUAGAUUCGAAUUUAUCAUUAUAAUUUUUUUUUUUAAUUUUUUUGUGCAG
This 740-nucleotide long non-coding RNA is filed under the name Malus domestica (apple). RNAcentral's name for it is "long non-coding RNA (MDOM_LNC013864)". Lineage: Eukaryota; Viridiplantae; Streptophyta; Magnoliopsida; Rosales; Rosaceae. The record is from RNAcentral.